GUCUACGGCCACACCACCCUGAACGCACCCGAUCUCGUCUGAUCUCGGAAGCUAAGCAGGGUCGGGCCUGGUUAGUUCUUGGAUGGGAGACAAGAACUUAAAAGCUUUAAAGC
Molecule: ribosomal RNA, 113 nt
Filed under: Castor canadensis (American beaver)
Lineage: Eukaryota; Metazoa; Chordata; Mammalia; Rodentia; Castoridae
Source: RNAcentral